Molecule: ribosomal RNA, 275 nt
Filed under: Ixodes ventalloi
Lineage: Eukaryota; Metazoa; Arthropoda; Arachnida; Ixodida; Ixodidae
Description: partial 16S ribosomal RNA
Source: RNAcentral
UCUGCUCAAUGAUUUUUUAAAUUGCUGUGGUAUUUUGACUAUACGAAGGUAUUGAAAUAAGAUUUUAAAUGAGUGCUAAGAGAAUGGUUGAACAAUUAAAGACUUUCUUUAUUUAAAAAAUUAAAUUUAAUUUUUUAAAGUGCAAAAGCAAAAAUGAAGAUUUGGGACAAGAAGACCCUAUGAAUUUUUAUUUAUUUAUAAUUUUUAAAAAUUAUAAAUAAAUUUGAUUGGGGCGAUGGAUAAAGAAUAGAUAUCUUUAUUUAAAUUUAAAAAAU